Long non-coding RNA from Cyprinus carpio carpio, 1042 nucleotides. The record is from Ensembl. NCBI's taxonomy places the organism in Eukaryota, Metazoa, Chordata, Actinopteri, Cypriniformes, Cyprinidae.
UAUUGAUUUAUUUAGAUUAUAUAGCUCUGUUCAGCAAACAAAAGAUAUUUAUAUAUUUUUUUAAAAUUUUAUUCAGAAUGCAGUAUACAUCUACAGGAUACACUGAGAGCUUUCCAGUGGUUUCUCAGCUGUAGCAGUGCUUUCCCAGAGCAGCUGUCCCUGAGCGGUGGUGAAUGGUGGGCUGUGUGGAGGUUCAGGGGAGAGACUCUCAGUCACACGGGCCGCGGACAGCUGACACACUGAGGAGCCACAUCACACCAACAAAUGGGAUGGUUGUCCAGAAAAGGUUCCCCUCUCCAGCAGAGGGGGUCAGUGAGCCUACCAUGCGUCCUGCACCCGGCUGCUCCCUCGUGAACAAAUACUGGACCACCCUAGUCUCACACUGUGUCUGUAGCAUACAGUGUGUGUUUGUUUUCUGUAUCUGUAGAAUACCAGGAUGACAGACCUGUACCAGAAUGAGCAGUAAACGAGAGAGUACACUGAUGUAUCCCACCAGUAAUGCACUCAGCCUGACCUUAUAUUUCCUGUGAACCAUAAAAAGUGAUUUAAUUUCUCUUUUUCACAGUACAAAACUGUCACUGGGGCAAUGCCCUUUCAAAAGGUACUAAUAUAUAUUUUCAAGGUACUAAAAUGUACCAUUUAUGAGUAAAUAAGAUGUACCUCUGUGCUUUUGUACCCGGUGACAGCUUCACACCUUUUUUUUCUAAGAUUGUUGUCUCAAUAGUUCAUCAAACUGCCAAGGGUUAAGAUAUUUCUUAUUAGACUAGAUAAAAACCGGUUACACUUUAUUUUAAGGUGUCCUUGUUACAGUGUAAUUAUACAUGUAAGUACUGAGUAAUAUUAAUUAACUACAUGUACUUUCUAUAUGGUUAGGGUUAGGAUUUUGGUUUAGGGUUACUUGCAUGUAAUUAUGCAUAAUUAAUUUUUAUUUUGAUAGUAAGUACAUUUAACGUGUAACAAGGACACCUUAAAAUAAAGUGUAUUUAAACAAUAACUGCUUUUAUUUCAGUGAUAACUAAACAGGAACAAUAACUAGACAUAA